UACAGAGGUCCCAAGCGUUGUUCGGAUUCACUGGGCGUAAAGGGUGCGUAGGUGGCCGGUUAAGUCUGACGUGAAAUCUCCGAGCCUAACUCGGAAACUGUAUCGGAAACUAUCCGGCUCGAGGGUUGGAGGGGGGACUGGAAUACUUGGUGUAGCAGUGAAAUGCGUAGAUAUCAAGUGGAACACCAGUGGCGAAGGCGAGUCCCUGGACAACUCCUGACACUGAGGCACGAAAGCUAGGGGAGCAAACAGG
This 253-nucleotide ribosomal RNA is filed under the name uncultured bacterium. RNAcentral's name for it is "partial 16S ribosomal RNA". It matches the Rfam family "Bacterial small subunit ribosomal RNA", at positions 524 to 776 of the family's 1533-position model. The record is from RNAcentral.